This 106-nucleotide small nuclear RNA is filed under the name Vulpes vulpes (red fox). RNAcentral's name for it is "U2 spliceosomal RNA (ENSVVUG00000028332.1)". It matches the Rfam family "U2 spliceosomal RNA". Rfam says of the family: U2 is a small nuclear RNA (snRNA) component of the spliceosome (involved in pre-mRNA splicing). Complementary binding between U2 snRNA (in an area lying towards the 5' end but 3' to hairpin I) and the branchpoint sequence (BPS) of the intron results the bulging out of an unpaired adenosine, on the BPS, which initiates a nucleophilic attack at the intronic 5' splice site, thus starting the first of two transesterification reactions that mediate splicing. Lineage: Eukaryota; Metazoa; Chordata; Mammalia; Carnivora; Canidae. The record is from RNAcentral.
AUCGCUUCUCGGCCUUUUGGCUAAGAUCAAGUGUAGUAUCUGUUCUUAUCAGUGUUCACUGCCUUCUGAAAAUUUUGCUUCUGUUUCAUUUCCAGGAGCAUCUCAG